Molecule: non-coding RNA, 351 nt
Organism: Triplophysa dalaica
Lineage: Eukaryota; Metazoa; Chordata; Actinopteri; Cypriniformes; Nemacheilidae
Source: the annotation of a RefSeq genome assembly
AUGGAGAGAUGUAUUCUACUGAUUCUUAUAACAGCAGCAGGUGUAUUUGCUGACAGCAUUAAACCAAAAGACACCAAUGUAAUCAGAAGUGAUGGAGAAUCUGUGACACUUAGCUACACAUAUAAAGCAACCAGCAGUUAUAUUAGACUUUACUGGUACAGACAGAAUCCUAACAGAGAACCUCAGUUUAUUCUGUGGAAAGGCGCUCGAUCUGAGAGCAGAUAUAAGGAUAUACCAGAGACUCGGUUUGACUCGACUACAUCAGACACAUCCACUGAACUCAUUAUUAAGAGUGUUUCUCUGUCAGAUUCAGCUCUAUAUUACUGUGCUCUGAGAGAUGGAGCCCAGUGA